AUGGCCGACGCAGGUCAAAGUGUAGUGCCUGUUCUUAGCAGCUUAGUAUCCGAUACGGGUUGUACUUGGACCCAAUAUAAUAAACUUAUUUUUGCAAGUUGGCGGAGUGCUUGAAGCCUGCUUCGCCUCCGCUGCGGGUCGGCCGGGUAUUGCACGAUCGUCGGGAUUUUUGGUCUACGGACA
Molecule: small nuclear RNA, 183 nt
Organism: Dermacentor silvarum
Lineage: Eukaryota; Metazoa; Arthropoda; Arachnida; Ixodida; Ixodidae
Product: U2 spliceosomal RNA
Exons: 1
Source: RefSeq, a predicted model, not a curated record